This 930-nucleotide ribosomal RNA is filed under the name uncultured bacterium. Its description in RNAcentral is "bacterial SSU rRNA". It matches the Rfam family "Bacterial small subunit ribosomal RNA", at positions 56 to 962 of the family's 1533-position model. The record is from RNAcentral.
UGCAAGUCGUGCGGUAACAGACAUAAAGAUUUAGCUUGCUAAAUCCGGUGCUGACGAGCGGCGAACGGGUGAGUAACACGUAGGAAUCUACCCAGUAGCGGGGGAUAGCCCAGGGAAACUUGGAUUAAUACCGCAUACGCCCUAAGGGGAAAAGAAGGCCUCUCUUUGAAGCUUUCACUAUUGGAUGAGCCUGCGUAAGAUUAGCUUGUUGGUGGGGUAAAGGCCUACCAAGGCAACGAUCUUUAGCUGGUCUGAGAGGACGAUCAGCCACAUUGGGACUGAGACACGGCCCAGACUUCUACGGAAGGCAGCAGUUAGGAAUAUUGGACAAUGGGGGCAACCCUGAUCCAGCUAUACCGCGUGUGUGAAGAAGGCCCUAGGGUUGUAAAGCACUUUAAGCAGGGAAGAAGCAUAUUAAGUUAAUACCUUAAUAUGUUGACGUUACCUGAAGAAUAAGGACCGGCUAACUCCGUGCCAGCAGCCGCGGUAAUACGGAGGGUCCAAGCGUUAAUCGGAAUUACUGGGCGUAAAGCGCGCGUAGGCGGUUUAAUAAGUUGUAUGUGAAAGCCCUGGGCUCAACCUAGGAACUGCAUACAAAACUAUUAAGCUUGAGGACGAGAGAGGAGAGUAGAAUUUCAGGUGUAGCGGUGAAAUGCGUAGAUAUCUGAAGGAAUACCAAUGGCGAAGGCAGCUCUCUGGCUCGUUUCUGACGCUGAGGUGCGAAAGCGUGGGUAGCAAACAGGAUUAGAUACCCUGGUAGUCCACGCCGUAAACGAUGAUAACUAGCCGUUGGGCAGAUUUAACUGUUCAGUGGCACAGCUAACGCAUUAAGUUAUCCGCCUGGGGAGUACGGCCGCAAGGCUAAAACUCAAAUGAAUUGACGGGGGCCCGCACAAGUGGUGGAGCAUGUGGUUUAAUUCGAUGCAACGC